This is a small nuclear RNA of Pongo abelii (Sumatran orangutan), 104 nucleotides long. Lineage: Eukaryota; Metazoa; Chordata; Mammalia; Primates; Hominidae. The record is from Ensembl.
GGGCUUGUUUUGGCAGCACAUAUACUAAAAUCAGAACAAUAAAGAGAUUAGUAUGGCCCCUGGGCAAAGAUGACAGGCGAAUUCAUGAAGUGUUCCAUAUUUUU